GUGCUCACUUUGGCAACACAUAUACUAAAACUGGAACGAUACAGAGAAGAUUAGCAUGGCCCCUGUGCAAGGAUGACAUGCAAAUUCGUCAAGUGUUCCAUAUUUUA
Small nuclear RNA from Otolemur garnettii (small-eared galago), 107 nucleotides. The record is from Ensembl. Lineage: Eukaryota; Metazoa; Chordata; Mammalia; Primates; Galagidae.